AGACAACAAGGCAAUGCUAACUUUAACAACUGGAACAGAAGUUACAGUGGAACCAAGAGCCCGGGCUGAAUCCCAACCGAAGGUCUUCGUCCUGAGGAACCAGAGCUUCGCUGCUUGCCUGGUGAAGGAUUUCUACCCCAAGAAGCUGAGCCUGACUUUGUCCGCACCCAGCUCCCCACUCACAGAGCCUCUGCAGGCGACAGCCCCCACUGCCCAGGGAACGUACAGCGCUGUCGGGAUUGCACAGUUCGGCAAGGUGGAGACGGUGACCUGCUCUGUGCAACAUGGCUCCAUGCAGAUAAACAUGACCGAAGGGCAGGAUGCAGCCCCAGCACAUCCCGGUUCAGAAAGAUCCAGACAGUCUGACCCUGCGGGUCCAGAAAGAAGAUUCUCAGCACAGUCUGGUUCAGAAAAUCCCCAAGAAUCUGUCCUCACCUGUUCAGAAUGGAGCUUCACAGAAGACCGAGAGUGGGGCAACAUGCUGUCCGUUGUUAUUCUGGCACUGAGAGUAUUGCUCGUGAAAAGCAUCGCACUCAACUUUCUCCUGACAAUCCAGGCCUCUUGUUGCUGAGGCUGCUGGAGAAUCCUGAUUGCGACACCACCACCUGCUUUCCUUUGUUUCCACUGGGCUUGAAUCACUUCCCUCCCCCGUGUCUGGAACAAAAACCUGCUGCUGAUUCAU
Molecule: non-coding RNA, 682 nt
Organism: Ornithorhynchus anatinus (platypus)
Lineage: Eukaryota; Metazoa; Chordata; Mammalia; Monotremata; Ornithorhynchidae
Source: the annotation of a RefSeq genome assembly